AGAGUUUGAUCCUGGCUCAGAAUGAACGCUGGCGGCGUGUUUAAGACAUGCAAGUCGCACGGAAUCAUUUUGGUAGUAAUACUCGAAUGGUUUAGUGGCGCACGGGUGAGUAACAUGUGAAUUACAUGCCCUAUAGUGGGGAAUAGCCCAGGGAAACUUGGAUUAAUACCCCAUGGUCUCGCAAGAGUAAAGGUGGCCGCAAGGCUGUCGCUAUAGGAUUGGUUCGCACCCUAUCAGCUUGUUGGUGAGGUAACGGCUCACCAAGGCUACGACGGGUACCUGGUCUGAGAGGACGAUCAGGCACACUGGAACUGAGACACGGUCCAGACACCUACGGGUGGCAGCAGUCGAGAAUAAUUCACAAUGGGGGCAACCCUGAUGGUGCAACGCCGCGUGGAGGAUGAAGGUCUUCGGAUUGUAAACUCCUGUCAUCUGGGAGUAAGACCUGGUCGUUAAUAGCGGACAGGGUUGAUAGUACCAGAAGAGGAAGGGACGGCUAACUUCGUGCCAGCAGCCGCGGUAAUACGAAGGUCCCGAGCGUUGUUCGGAAUCACUGGGCGUAAAGGGAGCGUAGGCGGCGUGGUAAGUCAGACGUGAAAUCCCGGGGCUCAACCCCGGAACUGCAUCCGAUACUGCCGUGCUAGAGGAUUGGAGAGGUAGCUGGAAUUCUUGGUGUAGCAGUGAAAUGCGUGGAUAUCAAGAGGAACACUCGUGGCGAAAGCGAGCUACUGGACAACUCCUGACGCUGAGGCUCGAAGGCCAGGGUAGCGAAAGGGAUUAGAUACCCCUGUAGUCCUGGC
RNAcentral lists this ribosomal RNA (800 nucleotides) under uncultured bacterium. RNAcentral describes it as "bacterial SSU rRNA". It matches the Rfam family "Bacterial small subunit ribosomal RNA", at positions 8 to 800 of the family's 1533-position model. The record is from RNAcentral.